Molecule: ribosomal RNA, 253 nt
Filed under: uncultured bacterium
Lineage: Bacteria
Description: partial 16S ribosomal RNA
Rfam family: Bacterial small subunit ribosomal RNA
Source: RNAcentral
UACGGAGGGUGCGAGCGUUGUUCGGAAUCACUGGGCGUAAAGCGCGUGUAGGCGGCCUGCUAAGUCUGAUGUGAAAGCCCGAGGCUCACCCUCGGAAGUGCAUUGGAAACUGGCAGACUGGAGUCCCGGAGAGGAGGGUGGAAUUCCUGGUGUAGCGGUGAAAUGCGUAGAUAUCAGGAGGAACACCGGUGGCGAAGGCGGCCCUCUGGGACGGUACUGACGCUGAGACGCGAAAGCGUGGGGAGCAAACAGG